Peromyscus maniculatus bairdii (prairie deer mouse) is the source of this 230-nucleotide non-coding RNA. NCBI's taxonomy places the organism in Eukaryota, Metazoa, Chordata, Mammalia, Rodentia, Cricetidae. The record is from RefSeq and is a predicted model, not a curated record.
UCUAAGAGAUUUCAUUAGAAAUAUAGAGGGGGAGAGACAGACAGAAACACAGGACAGCAUUGGGGGGGGGGGCACUGGAUCCUUAUCCACUGGCCCUUUCCAUCUCUUCUAAAGGGCUCUUUAUAGGAAUGCCAAGGGGUAGAGCAAAAGAUCUCCUCCUAGCACAGCCAACUGUAGACCCUUCCAAACACCUGGUAACCAUGCACAUGGUCAAGUCAUUCUUUAAUGCA